UUGGCACACCGCAAUCCAUUAUCCCCAGAGAUGUGUCCCUGGAUGUCAAUCUCAGUCCAAAAAGGCUGAUUCUAAAAAUAACACAUCCCCUAAAAACCAUUCACAUUCAAGCGCAGCUUGAAGAAUUAAACAACCAACAUUCAGGCAGAAUCGAACUACUGAUAGACAACAUCCACCAUUAUUUUAUCAAGGGACUACUGGAGACAGUGAAUCUUGCUUCAGAGACGAGAGCCCACUUUCAUCUUGAUGCCAAAGUAGUAGCAGAUGGGCAUCCAUUCUCCCUCUCAGUCAACACCACACAUGCUCGCAACAGGAAGUUCAUAAUACAGGCCUUGCUUAAAAAUGUCUUCAAUAAGGACG
Long non-coding RNA from Sinocyclocheilus grahami, 360 nucleotides. RefSeq lists it as uncharacterized. The transcript has 3 exons. Lineage: Eukaryota; Metazoa; Chordata; Actinopteri; Cypriniformes; Cyprinidae. The record is from RefSeq and is a predicted model, not a curated record.